GUGAGAGAUAAGAAUAUUACUGACAUAUCUUUAUUCCCAGGGAAGAAGGGCUUACGUAAGUUUUGUAUUGUUUUCAAUAUACAAGAAAAUUAAAUUUUGAGAAUUUCUAAAUAACCAAAUAGCUAUACGUAUAGUAAAAUAUAACUUGUGCGUGUUUUGCCAAACAAAAAGUUUAUCAUCAUCGUGAUUACAGCCAUUUUAAUUUGUAGUAGGUACCUACCUAUAAAAUGUGUUGGAGUGUAUAACACAUGGAUAUUUAGAUCAAAAAUAAAGGGGAACAAUUACUUAAGGCAAAAUUUAAAAAAAUAAACAAAAGCCAUUAAGAUUGGCUACACAUUUCGUGGGGAACUUUGGAUGAUUUUGAGAAACUUAGCCCCAAACUCCUCUUCUCUAUCACUACCUAUAACUAAACCACUUUCUACCACCAACUAGUAUUGUGUAUGAUAACGUAACCUAAUCUAGGACAACGAAAUUCGUGGUCAUGCCAUUACGUGUACACUAAGUAGGGAAAGAAUUUUUAACGAAAUUAUUAUGACGUGCAUGUGGUUGACCGCGGUGAACGCGAUGCGAAUUAUACACCACUAUAAUAUUUUUGUUAUUGUUAUUGUUAUUAAAAAUAUGAUUACUGUACUAUUAAAAAAAAAAAAAAAACAUCGGAAACCGAUCGCGGGGACAUUUGCAGACCAACGGUUCGGUUUCUUUCCGAGCACUCGGUCGAUUUCGGCAAUAUAAUAAUUACGCACAGUGUCGUGGUUCUUUUGUCACCGGGACCUUUGUCUCCUGAAAGCUGGACCGCGACGGAGGCAAACCCCGUCGUCUGAGCCCUACUGGAAAAAAAAAAAAAUCAAAAAACCAAACAAUGCCACCGGUCCGGUUUCCUCCGCCUCUCUCUUUCUACUUCUCUCUCUCUCUCUCACUUCACGUCUAGACUUCUCGUCUAUCUGGCUGCUGUGGCACCCUGUAUAUACUCGCGUAUAAUGCAAAUGUACUUGUCAAUCACGUCUCCCAGACGAACACCGCGUUGCUGCACAAUGUGCGAGCUAUUGGCAGGAAAAAAAACCGACUUUUUUUUCUCCCCCAUUAUUCUUACAUUAUAUAUUAUAAACGUGUCGUGUACCAAUAAUUUCUGCGGCGUGGCAGCACACCCGACGCGACGAAAAUAUAAUAUCGUUGUAUAGGUAUUCACGUGUGUGACGGGAAUAGCGGUUUUAACUCGGGUGUGAGCUAAUACUAUAUGGGCUAUUUCGAGCAAAAAAAAAAAAAAUGUCAUCUAUAGAUGUAUGUGUGCAGCGGCGAAACGAAAGUGAUUACAUCACUGUUUAUUUUAAGACUUAGUGCUGGGCUAGCGUUUAAUACGAAAAAAACACUAAACGUUAUCGAACCACUCGUUUGCUAUUAAUCUAGUGAAAAUAGAUGAACAUAUAGGUCGGUGUUGGUGGGCAGACAACUGGAUAGAGACUAUAGAUUGUUUCUGGGUUAUUUGAUGGGUUCGCUUCGCCGCUGUAUCCGAAAAUCGAAAAUAUAGACGGCGCGCGCCGUCGGCACAAACACGUGCCUCUGUUGUUCGAUUAUAACCUCGGUGCGGCAGAUGGGGUCGUCGUCGUCGUCGGUUCGCCGACUGAAAAUCCGAAGUCGCGUGUGUUUACGUAAGGAAGAUUCGCGCGACAAUAAUCGACCGGCCAACAAUAAUAAUAACGUCGCAGCUGGACAUUCUCGGCGACGACGACUAUACGCGUAAUUAUUUGCGUACGGACGCCUCUAUGAGAAAUUCGGUUCGCAUGCCCGGUGGUGCGCCGAC
Molecule: long non-coding RNA, 1798 nt
Filed under: Cinara cedri
Lineage: Eukaryota; Metazoa; Arthropoda; Insecta; Hemiptera; Aphididae
Source: RNAcentral